Molecule: long non-coding RNA, 253 nt
Filed under: Elaeis guineensis (African oil palm)
Lineage: Eukaryota; Viridiplantae; Streptophyta; Magnoliopsida; Arecales; Arecaceae
Description: long non-coding RNA (EGUI_LNC027456)
Source: RNAcentral
UCGUCGGCAUGUUGGAAUGUUCCUCUUCGAAGACCAAGCAUAUCCAUGGAACCCAAGGAACAUAGAAUGGUGAUGGCAAUUAAAGAAAAAAUUACACGAAGAAUCUUAGAGGGAGGAAGGAGGUGGAGAAGAGAGUUAGAUUACGGUUAAUCUAUUGGGAUCUAUGAAAUAGGAGAAGCCCAUUGAAACCUAUGUCACCGGAUGUAGAUUUAAGAGGAUCAGUGAAGAGAAGGUUUUGAUGGAGAGAGAGGAG